This 464-nucleotide ribosomal RNA is filed under the name uncultured bacterium. RNAcentral describes it as "partial 16S ribosomal RNA". It matches the Rfam family "Bacterial small subunit ribosomal RNA", at positions 338 to 795 of the family's 1533-position model. The record is from RNAcentral.
CCUACGGGGAGCAGCAGUAGGGAAUUUUCGUCAAUGGGCGCAAGCCUGAACGAGCAAUGCCGCGUGAACGAGGAAGGUCUUCGGAUCGUAAAGUUCUGUUGAAGGGGAAAAAGAGCGGAGAGAGGAAAUGCUUUCUGAUUGAUAUUACCCUUCGAGGAAGUCACGGCUAACUACGUGCCAGCAGCCGCGGUAAUACGUAGGUGGCGAGCGUUAUCCGGAAUGAUUGGGCGUAAAGGGUGCGUAGGCGGCCUGCUAAGUCUGGAGUGAAAGGUACCGGCUCAACCGGUACAGGCUCUGGAAACUGGUGGGCUAGAGAGCAGGAGAGGGCGGUGGAACUCCAUGUGUAGCGGUAAAAUGCGUAGAUAUAUGGAAGAACACCGAUUGCGAAGGCAUCUCACGAAGCCGCGAUUGACGCUGAUGCACGAAAGCGUGGGUAUCAAACAGGAUUAGAUACCCGAGUAGUC